CAUAAACCUUGUGCUAUUUCCUGAAUCCUCUCUGGUCAAUUCCCUCCACUCAUUAGAGUGAACAAAAAAUGUGGCUAAACCUUGUGUCCUUACUAGUACUCCUGAAAGGAGUCCAAUCUCAAGUCCAGUUGGUGGAGUCUGGAGGGGAUGCGAGAAGGCCUGGAGAGUCCCUCCGUCUCUCUUGCCAAGGAUCUGGGUUCACCUUUGGAAGCUAUGACAUGAACUGGGUGAGACAGGCUCCUGGAAAAGGUCUGGAAUGGGUUGCACGCAUCUAUACUGAUUCCAGUGGAAAGUUCUACUCAGACAAAGUCAAGGGGCGCUUCACCAUCUCCAGGGACAAUGCCAAAAGCCAGCUGUAUCUGCAAAUGAACAGCCUCAAGCCAGAGGACACAGCAGUCUAUUACUGUGUGAGAGACACAGUGAGAGGAAGUGAAUCUGAUGCCAGACAAAAACCUUCCUUUCUUCAGAGGAGCUCUUCAACUUGUCUAAGCUGCAAAUCCUGGGUUAUCAAUGAUCAUUGUCUAGUGAGAACUUCAAGAAGCUUGGGUGUAGGUAUUAAAAAGUUUUCUGUAAGAAAAUAA
Non-coding RNA from Notechis scutatus (mainland tiger snake), 581 nucleotides. NCBI's taxonomy places the organism in Eukaryota, Metazoa, Chordata, Lepidosauria, Squamata, Elapidae. The record is from the annotation of a RefSeq genome assembly.